CUCCGGAGAGCCCCGGACGGCGGGACCCGGCUCGGGCGCAGGGGCGUCGUCGCCCACGAGCCUGUCGAAGAAGUCGGCGUCGGUGAGGUCGUCGGCCAUCUCCCGCCCAGCGGGUGUCGGCGCGAGAUCUCGCGUCUGUGGGGGCGCGCGGAUCUACCUAGGGCCCGCCCCGCCCCGCCGCCCCGAGAUCCGCUCGCUCGCCCGCUCGCCCGUCCCCGGCGCGACAAGACAAGGACGGUGGGCGGUUGCGGUGGCUGGCUGGCUGGCUGGCUCGGGAGGGCGACAGCCGACGUCGCGUGCGUCAUGGGCUGCUCAUGGCGCCACCGGUUUGCAUUUGCAUUGCAUUUUUCUUUUUCUCUCCCUGUCUGCGUGUGGUGUGGUGGCACCGAUCGAGCUUUCGUUUCCUCUUGUUUUGUUCCACCUUUUUCUUUCCCCGGCUGAUUUUAAUCUCUUUCCCCGGCGGUGGAGCAGUGAGUGAAGCAGACAAGAUUCUCCUCCCCUGACCCCAUCCACCGGAGAUGCCCACUUAUAAUUAUUCAUACACAAAUUGCAGUAUAUGCAUCCAGGUUAAUUAGAGGGUGCUUGGAUACGUUUUAG
This 597-nucleotide long non-coding RNA is filed under the name Hordeum vulgare. RNAcentral's name for it is "long non-coding RNA (HVUL_LNC014558)". Lineage: Eukaryota; Viridiplantae; Streptophyta; Magnoliopsida; Poales; Poaceae. The record is from RNAcentral.